CAAGGGGUGAGGGCUUUUUUUUAAAUACAACUAAAGCACUGGGCUAGGCAGAAAGUGACUGCCCCAGCAAUUGCUCCAAGUGCAAUGGUGUCAGGACAGGAGGCAAAGAAAGCUCACUCUCUUGGCAUGUGAGCAAGAAGGAGCUGAGUGGGAGAAUAAAGGUAUCCAUCGAAAGAAUCCAAAGACCACUGGACAAUUGAGAUAUCUGAAGAAAAGGGACAGAUAAUCCUAAGGAGUAAAUUGAUCUAUUGGAACAUCAUAUUUCCAAAAGGAUAAAAUUCCAAAAACCUUC
Molecule: long non-coding RNA, 292 nt
Organism: Mesocricetus auratus (golden hamster)
Lineage: Eukaryota; Metazoa; Chordata; Mammalia; Rodentia; Cricetidae
Exons: 2
Source: RefSeq, a predicted model, not a curated record